UCCUUGGUGGCUCAGAUGGUAAAAGCAUCUGCCCACAAUGCAGGAGACCCGGGUUCAAUCCCUGGGUCGGGAA
Molecule: transfer RNA, 73 nt
Organism: Ovis aries (sheep)
Lineage: Eukaryota; Metazoa; Chordata; Mammalia; Artiodactyla; Bovidae
Rfam family: tRNA
About the family: Transfer RNA (tRNA) molecules are approximately 80 nucleotides in length. Their secondary structure includes four short double-helical elements and three loops (D, anti-codon, and T loops). Further hydrogen bonds mediate the characteristic L-shaped molecular structure. tRNAs have two regions of fundamental functional importance: the anti-codon, which is responsible for specific mRNA codon recognition, and the 3' end, to which the tRNAs corresponding amino acid is attached (by aminoacyl-tRNA synthetases). tRNAs cope with the degeneracy of the genetic code in two manners: having more than one tRNA (with a specific anti-codon) for a particular amino acid; and 'wobble' base-pairing, i.e. permitting non-standard base-pairing at the 3rd anti-codon position.
Source: Rfam